UACGGAGGGGGCUAGCGUUGUUCGGAAUUACUGGGCGUAAAGCGCGCGUAGGCGGACCUGCAAGUCGGGGGUGAAAGCCCGAGGCUCAACCUCGGAACUGCCUUCGAUACUGGAGAGCUUGAGUUCGGGAGAGGUGAGUGGAACUGCGAGUGUAGAGGUGAAAUUCGUAGAUAUUCGCAAGAACACCAGUGGCGAAGGCGGCUCACUGGCCCGGUACUGACGCUGAGGUGCGAAAGCGUGGGGAGCAAACAGG
This 253-nucleotide ribosomal RNA is filed under the name uncultured bacterium. Its description in RNAcentral is "partial 16S ribosomal RNA". It matches the Rfam family "Bacterial small subunit ribosomal RNA", at positions 524 to 776 of the family's 1533-position model. The record is from RNAcentral.